RNAcentral lists this ribosomal RNA (442 nucleotides) under uncultured Armatimonadota bacterium. RNAcentral describes it as "uncultured Armatimonadetes bacterium partial 16S ribosomal RNA". Lineage: Bacteria; Bacillati; Armatimonadota. The record is from RNAcentral.
GACUACCGGGGUAUCUAAUCCUGUUUGCUACCCACGCUUUCGCACCUCAGCGUCAGAUGAUGCCCAGCAAGCUGCCUUCGCCAUUGGUAUUCCUCCUGAUAUCAACCCAUGUCACCGGUACACCAGGAAUUCUACUUGCCUCUGCAUCCCUCAAGUCUGCCAGUAUGAAAAGCCGUUUCCGCGUUGAGCGCUGGAGAUUUCACUUCUCACUUAACAGACCGCCUACGUGCUCUUUACGCCCAGUAAAUCCGGACAACGCUCGCUCCCUACGUCUUACCGCGGCUGCUGGCACGUAGUUAGCCGGAGCUUAUUCUCAGGGUACCGUCCUAAGUCUUUCCCUGAAAAAGGAGUUUACGAGCCUAGACCCUUCAUCCUCCACGCGGCGUCGCUGCAUCAGGGUUUCCCCCAUUGUGCAAGAUUCCCCACUGCAGCCGCCCGUAGG